GACGAAGGGGGCUAGCGUUGUUCGGGAUUACUGGGCGUAAAGCGCGUGUAGGCGGUUGCCCAAGUCGGGGGUGAAAGCCUUGAGCUCAACUCAAGAAGUGCACUCGGUACUGGGUGACUAGAGGACCGGAGAGGAUAGUGGAAUUCCCAGUGUAGUGGUGAAAUACGUAGAGAUUGGGAAGAACACCAGUGGCGAAGGCGGCUAUCUGGACGGUUUCUGACGCUAAGACGCGAAAGCGUGGGGAGCAAACGGG
RNAcentral lists this ribosomal RNA (253 nucleotides) under uncultured bacterium. Its description in RNAcentral is "partial 16S ribosomal RNA". It matches the Rfam family "Bacterial small subunit ribosomal RNA", at positions 524 to 776 of the family's 1533-position model. The record is from RNAcentral.